ACGUUAUCAAGAAAGGCGGAGGGAUUAGACCCAAUGAAGCCUUAGCAACCCUUUUUUCCACGCCGAUAGCGCUCGGAAGGAAUGAAGAAGGUGCUACUUUCUAAUCCUGUCAGGAUGCCCAAAAAGGGUCUUCGUGGCACAGGAAUAGAUAACAA
RNAcentral lists this non-coding RNA (155 nucleotides) under Arenibacter nanhaiticus. Its description in RNAcentral is "SAM-I sequence". It matches the Rfam family "SAM riboswitch aptamer (S box leader)". Rfam says of the family: The SAM riboswitch is found upstream of a number of genes which code for proteins involved in methionine or cysteine biosynthesis in Gram-positive bacteria. The SAM riboswitch acts at the level of transcription termination control. The predicted structure consists of a complex stem-loop region followed by a single stem loop terminator region. Lineage: Bacteria; Pseudomonadati; Bacteroidota; Flavobacteriia; Flavobacteriales; Flavobacteriaceae. The record is from Rfam by way of RNAcentral.